GUACGUACUGGCAUUGUUGGUUUCUCCCUUCUGACGAACCAUGAUGUCAUUUAUUUGGUGUUGUGGGGAAUCAGGACUGUUACUUUGAAAAAAUUAGAGUGUUUAAAGCAGGCUCACGCUUGAAUACAUUAGCAUGGAAUAAUGAAAUAGGACGUUUGAUUCUAUUUUGUUGGUUUCUAGGAUCGACGUAAUGAUUAAUAGGGAUAGUUGGGGGCAUUAGUAUUCAAUUGUCAGAGGUGAAAUUCUUGGAUUUAUUGAAGACUAACUACUGCGAAAGCAUUUGCCAAGGAUGUUUUCAUUAAUCAAGAACGAAAGUUAGGGGAUCGAAGACGAUCAGAUACCGUCGUAGUCUUAACCAUAAACUAUGCCGACUAGGGAUCGGAUGAUGUUAAUUUUUUAAUGACUCAUUCGGCGCCUUACG
RNAcentral lists this ribosomal RNA (421 nucleotides) under uncultured Glomeromycotina. RNAcentral's name for it is "SSU rRNA". It matches the Rfam family "Eukaryotic small subunit ribosomal RNA", at positions 673 to 1092 of the family's 1831-position model. Lineage: Eukaryota; Fungi; Glomeromycota. The record is from RNAcentral.